This 72-nucleotide transfer RNA is filed under the name Dipodomys ordii (Ord's kangaroo rat). It matches the Rfam family "tRNA". Rfam says of the family: Transfer RNA (tRNA) molecules are approximately 80 nucleotides in length. Their secondary structure includes four short double-helical elements and three loops (D, anti-codon, and T loops). The record is from Rfam by way of RNAcentral. Lineage: Eukaryota; Metazoa; Chordata; Mammalia; Rodentia; Heteromyidae.
GGGAAGAUAGCUCAGUGGUAGAGUGCUUGCCUUACAUGCAUGAGGCCCUGGGUUCGAUUCCUCAGCAUCACA